Molecule: ribosomal RNA, 210 nt
Filed under: uncultured bacterium
Lineage: Bacteria
Description: partial 16S ribosomal RNA
Rfam family: Bacterial small subunit ribosomal RNA
Source: RNAcentral
UCGGACUGUAGGCUGCAACUCGCCUACACGAAGUCGGAAUCGCUAGUAAUCGCGGAUCAGCAUGCCGCGGUGAAUACGUUCCCGGGCCUUGUACACACCGCCCGUCCACACCAUGGGAGUUUGUAACGCCCAAAGUCGGUGGCCUAACCUUUAUGGAGGGAGCCGCCUAAGGCGGGACAGAUGACUGGGGUGAAGUCGUAACAAGGUAAC